GGAGAUACAAUCAAAUGGGCACAAGAACUACAAUAGUCAGUCAGAGCAAAUAGGUUAUACAUUACUGACUUUAGUUAUGUGUUACGAUUGGCCAGGGCACCCUAGCAUAAUGGCUGGUUACAGAGUACACGCAGUAAUAUGCUGCUUUGAUCUAUAAAAGCCGUACACACAUUGGGAUAAUAGCAUGUUAGCGUCAAGAUCAUAACUAGCAUAAAAAAGACAUGCUCAGGAAAGUAAGUAUUCUUGUUACAGGACUUACGCCAUCGACAAUGUUGCUGAGCCCUUUCCAGCUUUUGCUUCAACAACUUCCGUCCCACCAUCCUGUGUCCUCUUCGUGAGGGCCACAAGGUCCUCAUGGGACAAUGCAUUACUUGCAGGAGUAGCCUAUACAAAAUAUAAAGAUUGAGCUGUUAACUUGAGAGGUGGGCGAGAUAACAUACAACAGACAUAGCAUAAAACUAUGGCAUCGAUUGCGUAACAUUUCAGUGAUUGAAAGACAAAAGAUAAUAGCUCAAGAAUGGGAUACCAUUGAUUCCUAUCCAAAAUAUGCAUUCUGUUUGCUAAACUGACUUGCAUGUCUUGACAGAAGCAUUCAAAUAAUUGCCUAUACCUAUGCUAUAAAGUUCUGUUAUCACCAAGUGUUUACAACUUCUUUACUUAUGCACAUCAACUUGUGUUGCUAUUGAAGAGGAAAUAGAAAAAUAAAAGAUAAGACAGUAGGACCCCACACCUGUGAGAACAGUGGCAGGAUAGUGAUACCAGCAUGGCCACCAACAACAGGAACAUUCACCCCUGCAGAAGACCACAGCAACAACUCAGGUUGAAAGGACGGAGGCAUAAAAUCCAACAACAUAAUCUCAAAUUUCCGUAUGAUUAAGUGAAAUAUCAUCUUAAUACCAGUAACUGGCACGUUUGCCUUUCCAGCGUAGAAUGUUUUAGCACGAACAACAUCAAGAGUGGUCACACCAAACAGCUUCUUCUCAUCAUAAGUACCAGCCUUCUUAAACACCUCUGCCGCAAUCGGGACUGUCGAGUUGACAGGGUUGCUGAUCAUAUUGACGAGAGCCUGAACAAGCAUAAUUAAUAAAUCCACAAUUAGAUUUUUACAUAAAUACUGUAUAAUUUAAAAAAAUACUUCAUAAACGACGGUUGACAUCUUGACGUACAGUAGUACACACAUGAGCAUGCUUAAACUAUACACUGAUGUCAUGCCAGGCCUCCGGAGCCAAUGGCUGUAUAGUGUUAGUGUUAGAGCAGCUUUCUUUGCUUCUUUUGCUUUUUCCCUUUAUCUAAUUUCAGUUAGCAGUUAUAUAUCGAGUUGGAUAGAGUUUUUUUGUAUUGCAGUCGUGCAAGUUCUGCAGCUUCUUGGUCUCAUUGUAAUACAAAAACACAUGCAUUUUGAUGUGAAUGCGUGUUUGAGUGGAAAAAAAGAACUACACAUGGAUGUCACACCUUGGCCAUCGCAGUAUACAGUGUGCAAUAGGAUGGAGAAAGAGAGAUGAGGCCCAAAAUGCAAAACAACGAGUGAAUCAAAUUUGCCUCCUAGCAAACAGCCUACAGCAUUUGGGCAGCAAAGCUUGUAGACUUGUACUACCAACAACAAUCAUAUGCAGCAAUGUGACUGCACAGCCCCAGAACAUAAAUCGUAAAACAAGGCCUGAAGCAAGCAUGCUGUCUAGAAACAGCCUAAACAGUGAGGCAGGAAAGGAACACCUGACGUUGUAGUGGGAGUUGGGUUCAUUUUGGGCAAACAGAGUGCCAGUCAUCCUAUGAUGCAACUACCUGACUGCUCUACCCCAGAUCAUCGAUGAAUGCAAAGCAUACAACCGACUGGCAGUCGCAAUUAUGCUUGGCAGCGGCAACUCGGUUCAUUUGGAGCAACCCAUUGUUUUAGACUUGUACUGCCUACAACAAUGUGACUGCACUGCCCCAGAACAUAAAUGUAGAGUGUCAAGCUCAAACUGUAAUAAAACAAGGCCUGAACCCAAGCGCGCCUCCUCCUAGAAGCAAGCCUACAGCAUUUGUGCAGGAAAGUAACACCUGACUUGGCCGUGGCAGUUCAGCUCAUUUUGGGCAAACGACUGUUCUAGACUAGUAGUACAAAACAAUCCUAUGCAACUUCUGGCCUUCUGCCCCAGAUCAGGAACGAGUGCGAAACAUACUUACAACCGUAGGCAAUUCCAAGUAUAGGAUUGCCGCAUUUGGCAACCAAAUCUAGCUGUGUCGCCUCCACUGUAGUGCAGAUCUACAGUUGCGUGGCAGCAGGCAGAGUGAGUAAUGGGAGCUUACGUUGGGGCAGUGCCUGGCGAUGGCGGUGCAGAGGCCCUUGACGAUCCCGGCGUUGAUCUUGAAGAGGUCGUCCCUGGUCAUGCCGGGCUUCCGGGGCACCCCGGCGGGGAUGAUGACGAGGUCGGCGCCCUCCAGCGCCUCCCCGAGCUGGUCGUCCCCGACGAACCCCUUGACCUGCAGGNAAAGGAAGCAGCUUCAGCACACCUACUCCAUCUUUCCAUCGAAAAUAACAAAAGUUGAUGAAUAAAACUAAUAGCGUAGGCAUUUUCCCAGGCUUCAAAAAUGGGCUUACAUGAAGUGAAACAAAGCAUAUUAUGUGUGUUUUUUAUACCAGCCAAUUCAAUCACUUUGACACAGGGUGGGGCUUUUUUUGCAGGGAGACGCGUGAUAGGACAUGCCUGACCAUCUACAAGAAUGCUAAGUUGCUACAUACAUAAACUUACUAAUCAACCAAAAAAAAUAUGUGUCAACAAAAGCAUCUUGCAAGGCCUGUGACACACCACACAAUUCAACUCAAAGAGCAACCUACACUUUGGAUAGGUGCUUCCGAGGUCAGAAACAAAACAACACUUCUAGGAACAACCAUGUGAGAACAUUUCAUGCGGGGAUGAAAAGUUUGUAGCCUGUUUAAGCACUUAGCAAUUAUAAAAGAAAGAGAAAGUGUGGAUUCUGAAAUGAUAACUAAUCUGGUGGAACAUAAUUGUACCAUACAGGGACAACAGGAAAUCACCUUGGAGGCAAAGAAUGGCAACUCUGUUACAGUUGAUUGGACAAAAGAGCACUCUAUGAUGUCAGGAACUCCAUUGAGCCCCUUCAAGCAUGCGUCUCCGAAAACUGCACCAGCAUAUCUGGAGAAACAAAAGAUAAUAUAUAAUAAUGCAAAAGAUUAUGAUCCAAAAUCAGUAGCAUGUUGUUAUAAAACAAGAGAUCACUAUGGAGUUCAUCUACAUAGAUCGAGGUGGCCACCGCCUCAUUUCAGAUUGCAAUUUCCAGCUAAAAUGGGCAGAAGAGUACAAUAUGCUGGACAUAACUGAAUUGACUAUGCAUUUCACAUGAAAGCAAAAACAGGAGAUUAAUGGUGGAUUCAGAAAAAUCUUUAGCAAAGAAUGUUCAUUACUACUCCCUCUGUAAACUUCUAUAAGACAUUUUACGUCACUUCUUUAGUAACCUAAAAUGUGUUAAAGAAGUUUACAGAGGUAGUACUACUUAGGUCAGUCCUCUCAAAAAAUUCAGGAAUCAAGAGUGCAAUAUAAUUUACGCAAGUAGAGAUUUUAGUUUCAUGUAUACAGUAAACGUUAAACUACUGAUAACAGAAUGAAAACUCCUUCACAUACGUCCAUAUUUGGCAGUAAAGAACUGCUGUGGAGAUACAAUCAAAUGGGCACAAGAACUACAAUAGUCAGUCAGAGCAAAUAGGUUAUACAUUACUGACUUUAGUUAUGUGUUACGAUUGGCCAGGGCACCCUAGCAUAAUGGCUGGUUACAGAGUACACGCAGUAAUAUGCUGCUUUGAUCUAUAAAAGCCGUACACACAUUGGGAUAAUAGCAUGUUAGCGUCAAGAUCAUAACUAGCAUAAAAAAGACAUGCUCAGGAAAGUAAGUAUUCUUGUUACAGGACUUACGCCAUCGACAAUGUUGCUGAGCCCUUUCCAGCUUUUGCUUCAACAACUUCCGUCCCACCAUCCUGUGUCCUCUUCGUGAGGGCCACAAGGUCCUCAUGGGACAAUGCAUUACUUGCAGGAGUAGCCUAUACAAAAUAUAAAGAUUGAGCUGUUAACUUGAGAGGUGGGCGAGAUAACAUACAACAGACAUAGCAUAAAACUAUGGCAUCGAUUGCGUAACAUUUCAGUGAUUGAAAGACAAAAGAUAAUAGCUCAAGAAUGGGAUACCAUUGAUUCCUAUCCAAAAUAUGCAUUCUGUUUGCUAAACUGACUUGCAUGUCUUGACAGAAGCAUUCAAAUAAUUGCCUAUACCUAUGCUAUAAAGUUCUGUUAUCACCAAGUGUUUACAACUUCUUUACUUAUGCACAUCAACUUGUGUUGCUAUUGAAGAGGAAAUAGAAAAAUAAAAGAUAAGACAGUAGGACCCCACACCUG
This 4385-nucleotide long non-coding RNA is filed under the name Hordeum vulgare. Its description in RNAcentral is "long non-coding RNA (HVUL_LNC002400)". The record is from RNAcentral. Lineage: Eukaryota; Viridiplantae; Streptophyta; Magnoliopsida; Poales; Poaceae.